This 703-nucleotide ribosomal RNA is filed under the name Palythoa sp. 'singaporensis' JDR-2008. Its description in RNAcentral is "partial 16S ribosomal RNA". It matches the Rfam family "Bacterial large subunit ribosomal RNA", at positions 1713 to 2462 of the family's 2925-position model. The record is from RNAcentral. Lineage: Eukaryota; Metazoa; Cnidaria; Anthozoa; Zoantharia; Sphenopidae.
CUCGGCAAAAUCCCAAUGGCCCACCAGGGCAUAUUGGAACACGGGCCUCGACUGUUUACCAAAAACAUAGCCCUCGGCCAAUAUGAAAAUAGAUGUAUAGAGGGUGAUGCCUGCCCAAUGGUUGUAUCUAAAAGCAGUUGAUAAAAGUCGACCUCGUAAGGACAAUUGAAUGGCCGCGGUAACACUGACCGUGAUAAUGUAGCGUAAUCAAUAGCCAAUUAAUUGUUGGCCAGUAUGAAUGGCGCCACGAAGGCCCCACUGUCUUAAGGAAAUUCCCAGUGAAAUUGAAUUCGUAGUGAAGAUGCUACGUCCAAUUUGUUAGACGAAAAGACCCCGUUGAGCUUUACUGGGGCACUUACACGGCCCUCGGCCUUCCCGUGCCCGGGAACCGGCCGAAUUUAAAUGGGUGGUUUAGACUAUGUGGCAGCCCCCCGCCGGGGCAGAUGAAACCCCACUCCCCCAUGUCAAAGGGGCUAACCCCCCCCUUGGGGGGGACAGUGUAAGUAGGACAGUUUGGUUGGGGCGACCGCCUUUUAAAGAGUAACGAAGGUGCGCUUAAGGUGCGCAAUUAAUGACUGAAGCCUGACUGCGAGGGGGAUACCCCGAGCAGACACCCCCCAAGCCCGCCCGAAGGGCGGCGGUGGGGUGGGCCAUAGUGACCCGUUAAUUUAGAGUGGAAUAGUUAACGAUCAACGAAUAAAAG